AGAGCUCUAGAGGUUCCUGAACCCAGCACUCCCACUAGUGGGUGCGUCAUGAAUGGAGUGCUGACCGUCCUCCAGGCAGCACACUAAAGGCUUUACAGCGCGAUCUCAUUUCGCCCUCAUAGCAACCCUGAAAGAUCCUCUCACCACCCUUCUCCAUCCUGCUCUGUGCCCCAAGAGGCAGACCCAUGUGGACUGCAUCACCUGGCCUCCCUAGUCCUCUGGCUUCCAGUUGAGUUUGACGAAUGAGAAGUGCUGGCAGAAGAUUGAAGCGUCAAAGGAGAGAAAGAAUGGCUCCCUUACUGUCUGCGUGCUAUAGAAUGAAUGUUUAUGUCCUCCCACCUCAAAACUUGUAUUGCACUGGAUACUGGGAAUGCAAUGGAUGCGUAAGACAAAAGCAGUUGCUACUCUCAAUGAGUUUACAGUCUAGUGGAAGAAACAUGCAAUAAAAAGAAGGAGCAGAGAAGAGAGCUGAGAGAGGCCAGCUGAGCAACUUGGAGGAGUGGCCAGAAGACUUUGAAGAACAGUUUCAUUUUAAGGUGUUUGUUCUGCUGCAACAACUUCUUCUAGUUCCUCAAACCUUCAAUAAAGGAUGUUGUACGA
RNAcentral lists this long non-coding RNA (600 nucleotides) under Equus caballus (horse). RNAcentral describes it as "lncRNA (ENSECAG00000045010.1)". Lineage: Eukaryota; Metazoa; Chordata; Mammalia; Perissodactyla; Equidae. The record is from RNAcentral.